This is a non-coding RNA of Podarcis lilfordi (Lilford's wall lizard), 70 nucleotides long. Lineage: Eukaryota; Metazoa; Chordata; Lepidosauria; Squamata; Lacertidae. The record is from the annotation of a GenBank genome assembly.
GCCCAUAGUUUAGUUGUAGAGUACAUGCUUCACAUGCAGAAAGACCCAGGUUCAAUUUCUGGUAGCGGCA